This is a long non-coding RNA of Zea mays, 1206 nucleotides long. RefSeq lists it as uncharacterized. The transcript is spliced from 2 exons. The record is from RefSeq and is a predicted model, not a curated record. NCBI's taxonomy places the organism in Eukaryota, Viridiplantae, Streptophyta, Magnoliopsida, Poales, Poaceae.
CUCCACUUGCUCACUCACUCACUCACUCACUGCUGGCCUGGUCUGGUAGUGGUCGCCAUCGCCGGAGCGCCCUCCGACCUUAAUUUAAUACGCUACUGUAGUAUAAUUAAGAGCGUAACGUAGUAGCCAACUACUAGAUCAGGACGUAGCCUGCAUCAAAAUUGGGCAUCAACCGCCACGAUUGAGCGAGGAGGCAAGGAUUAAUAGCCUUUCUUUUUUCUUUUCCUUUUUCUUUGUGUAGUGCGGACGUGCGGUCCGCGAGAAACCGCGACAGCGCGAGACAUUCGCCGGAAGGAAUAAACCCCGGCCGGGGCGGCGCGGCGCACACAUGGUGACACGUGCAUUCGCCGCGGACUCCGGCCACGACGACCAGGGUCGCGGGUCGCCUCGCCUCUAGGGAUGGCAGUGGGUACGGAUAUGGGUAAAUAACCGCGGUUAUUUACCCGUUGGGUACGGAUAUGGUGAAGUUUCAUAUCCGCGGGUACGGGUAUGGAUACUAUAUGGUAUCCACGGGUAAUAAUUUCGCGGGUAUGGAUAUCUGCUAUCCAUAUCCGUUACCCGGUGGACAUAUGUCAUGUGGACCCAAACAUCUAAUGGACGCAUCCCAGGUCCCAGCGGCCAGCAUCCUUGGGCUUGUUCACUGCUUCACGGAUGGAGUCUGGAUCAGCGCCUCAACACUUCAGCAGCAAGGCCGCAUUGCCACAAGGCCAGCAGACAGCAGUCCAAGCGGCCCAAGACUGCUCACGGACGGAGUCUUAGAGUCUCGGGCUGCAGGCAUCCACCUCCACCAGGCGCUGGCCCAGUUUUCGCCAUCCACCAGGCGUCCUUAGAAUAUGGUGCAGGGCUACCGAGCAGCGAGCAACAAGCUGCCGAGCACAGGGCGCCGACCGUCGAGCAGCGAGCACCGAGGACCGCCGAGUAGUCGAGCACCGAGCAGCUAGCACCGAGCAGCCGAGCAGCAAGCAGAGGGCUGCGACCACCGAGCAGCCGAGCCGCCUCGUCUUCUCUCGUCUUCUCUAGUAAAUUAAACAGGCUUGGAUGAAUUAGUUUUUUGAUUUAGAGUUUUGGAGAGAUUAUUUGUACGGAUUUGAAAAGAUUACUUGUAUGGAACGUUGAAAUUAUUGUUUGGUGCUAAAAAAUAUUAUUGGAAUGUUGUUGGAAUGUUAAUUUGUGAUAAAUUUCUGCUAGAAUGAUGCUGUAAUUUUA